RNAcentral lists this long non-coding RNA (192 nucleotides) under Oryza sativa aromatic subgroup. Its description in RNAcentral is "lncRNA OsARC_10g0007450". The record is from RNAcentral. Lineage: Eukaryota; Viridiplantae; Streptophyta; Magnoliopsida; Poales; Poaceae.
GGAGCAACAUCUGUUCCUCCUACGAUUGGAUCUUCAAAAAGAAUUGUUAGGAGAGCUAUUUCAUUGCUGCCGCCCACUACUCUUCCAGCUCUGCCGACAACCAUACCUACAAGAGCUGCAGCUGAAGCAACACAUAGGGCAGAGGAGGCAUCACAGGACACCAAGGCCCCAAGCCUCAGGUUCUGUAAAUGA